GGGGGGGGGGGGGGGGGGGGGGGGCGGGGGCGGGGCGAGGGGAGGGGCCCUGCGUUUGUGGGGUGCUCGAGUGGCGAACGGGUGGGUAACACGUGAGUAGCCUGCCCUGGACGUUGGGAUAACUUCAGGAAACUGGGGCUAAUACCGGGUAGGUGGUCCUGCUGCAUGGUGGGGGUUGGAAAGUUUCGGCGGGUGGGGAUGGACUCGCGGCUUCUCAGCUUGUUGGUGGGGUAGUGGCUUACCAAGGCUUUGACGGGUAGCCGGCCUGAGAGGGUGACCGGCCACAUUGGGACUGAGAUACGGCCCAGACUCCUACGGGAGGCAGCAGUGGGGAAUAUUGCACAAUGGGCGGAAGCCUGAUGCAGCAACGCCGCGUGCGGGAUGACGGCCUUCGGGUUGUAACCCGCUUUCGCCUGUGACGAAGCGUGAGUGACGGUAAUGGGUAAAGAAGCACCGGCUAACUACGUG
RNAcentral lists this ribosomal RNA (468 nucleotides) under uncultured bacterium. RNAcentral's name for it is "partial 16S ribosomal RNA". The stretch from base 53 to 468 matches the Rfam family "Bacterial small subunit ribosomal RNA", at positions 34 to 507 of the family's 1533-position model. The record is from RNAcentral.